RNAcentral lists this ribosomal RNA (903 nucleotides) under Colletotrichum nymphaeae. RNAcentral's name for it is "LSU rRNA". It matches the Rfam family "Eukaryotic large subunit ribosomal RNA", at positions 38 to 971 of the family's 3401-position model. Lineage: Eukaryota; Fungi; Ascomycota; Sordariomycetes; Glomerellales; Glomerellaceae. The record is from RNAcentral.
GCAUAUCAAUAAGCGGGGGAAAAGAAACCAAACAGGAUUGCCCCAGUAUCGGCGAGUGAAGCGGCAACAGCUCAAAUUUGAAAUCUGGCCCCAGGCCCGAGUUGUAAUUUGCAGAGGAUGCUUUUUGGCGCGGUCCCUUCCGAGUUCCCUGGAACGGGACGCCAUAGAGGGUGAGAGCCCCGUACGGUUGGACACCAAGCCUUUGUAAAGCUCCUUCGACGAGUCGAGUAGUUUGGGAAUGCUGCUCUAAAUGGGAGGUACAUUUCUUCUAAAGCUAAAUAUUGGCCAGAGACCGAUAGCGCACAAGUAGAGUGAUCGAAAGAUGAAAAGCACUUUGAAAAGAGGGUUAAACAGCACGUGAAAUUGUUAAAAGGGAAGCGCUUGUGACCAGACUUGCGUCCGGUGAAUCACCCAGCUCUCGCGGCUGGGGCACUUCGCCGGCACAGGCCAGCAUCAGCUUGCCGUCGGGGACAAAAGCUUCAGGAACGUGGCUCCUCUCGGGGAGUGUUAUAGCCUGUUGCAUAAUACCCUUCGGCGGGCUGAGGUACGCGCUCCGCAAGGAUGCUGGCGUAAUGGUCAUCAGCGACCCGUCUUGAAACACGGACCAAGGAGUCAACCUUAUGUGCGAGUGUUUGGGUGUCAAACCCCUACGCGUAAUGAAAGUGAACGCAGGUGAGAGCUUCGGCGCAUCAUCGACCGAUCCUGAUGUUCUCGGAUGGAUUUGAGUAAGAGCAUAUAGGGUUGGACCCGAAAGAAGGUGAACUAUGCGUGUGUAGGGUGAAGCCAGAGGAAACUCUGGUGGAGGCUCGCAGCGGUUCUGACGUGCAAAUCGAUCGUCAAACAUGCGCAUGGGGGCGAAAGACUAAUCGAACCUUCUAGUAGCUGGUUUCCGCCGAAGUUCCC